AACGCGAAGAACCUUACCAGGUCUUGACAUCCCGUUGACCACUGUAGAGAUAUGGUUUCCCCUUCGGGGGCAACGGUGACAGGUGGUGCAUGGUUGUCGUCAGCUCGUGUCGUGAGAUGUUGGGUUAAGUCCCGCAACGAGCGCAACCCUUGAUCUUAGUUGCCAUCAUUUAGUUGGGCACUCUAAGGUGACUGCCGGUGACAAACCGGAGGAAGGUGGGGAUGACGUCAAAUCAUCAUGCCCCUUAUGACCUGGGCUACACACGUGCUACAAUGGACGAUACAAACGGUUGCCAACUCGCGAGAGGGAGCUAAUCCGAUAAAGUCGUUCUCAGUUCGGAUUGUAGGCUGCAACUCGCCUACAUGAAGCCGGAAUCGCUAGUAAUCGCGGAUCAGCAUGCCGCGGUGAAUACGUUCCCGGGCCUUGUACACACCG
Molecule: ribosomal RNA, 435 nt
Filed under: uncultured bacterium
Lineage: Bacteria
Description: bacterial SSU rRNA
Rfam family: Bacterial small subunit ribosomal RNA
Source: RNAcentral